RNAcentral lists this ribosomal RNA (253 nucleotides) under uncultured bacterium. Its description in RNAcentral is "partial 16S ribosomal RNA". It matches the Rfam family "Bacterial small subunit ribosomal RNA", at positions 524 to 776 of the family's 1533-position model. The record is from RNAcentral.
UACGGAGGGGGCAAGCGUUAUUCGGAAUUAUUGGGCGUAAAGGGCGCGUAGGCGGCUUGAUGUGUCAAAGGUGAAAUCCCUCGGCUCAACUGAGGAACUGCCUUUGAAACUGUCUGGCUUGAGGCCGGGAGAGGGUAGCGGAAUUCCCAGUGUAGCGGUGAAAUGCGUAGAUACUGGGAGGAACACCGGUGGCGAAGGCGGCUACCUGGACCGGUUCUGACGCUGAUGCGCGAAAGCGUGGGUAGCAAACAGG